AUGACUGAAAUCGAGACUUACACCGAACUGGACCAAGAGGAGACCAACAAGUUCCAUCUCAAGUAUGCGCUUUAUCGCAUCAAAGCUUGCCUGCUGUUGAAAGGAAUGCCGGCUGACGAGAUCGAUGAUGCUGCGUUGGAACGCAAGUACCCUCCAGAGCUUAUCGUCAAGAACGACUACUUCUUUCACUACGUCCAAGAUGGCUUCUUUGGUUGGUAUUUUGAUUCCGAACUCUGUUACAAAAAGUCCUUGAGCGACUACCAGCGGCUAGUCAUUUUCAAUGAUGGUGGCUAUGAGUAUACAAGUUGGAGUAGAUACCGAGCAUUUUAUAGCACCCCUGACGCUGAUAGAGAUUAUCUCCAAUUCUGGGAAACAAUUGUGAAGGAAAUUAAAUGGCUUGAACAGUAUAUGCUGACAAACGAGUCGUCUAUUGAGUGGGCGCGUGUACAUUCAAAGGCUACAUUCCAAGCAUGUAGGAUCGCAUCUGGGUUUCAAAACAUGACUCUGGAACUAGCAGCUGUUGGUUUGCAUGAGUAUAUAUGGGAUGCACGCAUAAAUCUCAUGUUUAUGAAAGAUCGUGAUGGUAUCUUCUAUGAGAUUUGGAGGCGGGUCAAUGAUAAUCAUCUGCUGAGUUUCAGAGAUGCUCUCGAGCAAGUUUAUGGUGAAAACUUGUAUUCAGCACACGACCGCAGUAUGAAGUAUGAGCUGAAUUACGGCGAUUCCAACAUGGAGCGUGUUUUUGCUCGGUGCACAAAAGGCAUUAGUGACAGUGUUCCAGAAUAUAAAGCCCGUGAGCUGAUUGCACAGGAGAUCCAUUGGACGAGUUUGUCGUCUGGAACAUAUGCGCGGUACGCCAGGAAGAAGCUGAAGGUUGCAGAACUGAUCGGAUUAAUUCCGAAGGACAAGAUAGGAGCUGUGUAG
RNAcentral lists this ribosomal RNA (921 nucleotides) under Triticum aestivum (bread wheat). Its description in RNAcentral is "partial small subunit ribosomal RNA". Lineage: Eukaryota; Viridiplantae; Streptophyta; Magnoliopsida; Poales; Poaceae. The record is from RNAcentral.